Molecule: non-coding RNA, 489 nt
Organism: Camellia sinensis
Lineage: Eukaryota; Viridiplantae; Streptophyta; Magnoliopsida; Ericales; Theaceae
Source: RefSeq, a predicted model, not a curated record
UGUAUUAUGUGAGUAAUAAGAAAGACUAAUAUGUAAUGAUUACUAUUUCAAUUUGUUUUGCAUGUAGGACAAGUUUCAAAUUGGAGACGAUUUCCACAAUGACUUACAAGCACAGGAGAUUGUGAAUAAGAAGGCCUAUGGGUUGUACAAAGAUUGGAGGUACACCUUGAAGCAAGAAUUCGAAUUGUUAGAGGGACUUCCACGUGAUGAGAUCUAUGCUCAUCCGCCGAUAGGGGUGAGUUUAGAUGAUUGGAAGCAUUUGAUCGAUGUGGCAUGGCAAGAUGCAUCUCACCAGAAACGGUCAAAAGCUGGCAAGAGUAAUAGGAGUCAAUUGCCGUACAAUCAUACCAAUGGGUCUCGCUCAUUUCCUAUCGCAAUGGCUGCUAUGGUAGCAAAAGAUGGAGAGUUGGAUUUCCCAAAGUUCUAUGAGGACAGCCACACUUCAAAGAAACGAAUGACUGGAUCCAUCCGAAAUGCCGUGAGCUGCAU